RNAcentral lists this long non-coding RNA (7389 nucleotides) under Ricinus communis (castor bean). RNAcentral's name for it is "long non-coding RNA (RCOM_LNC000670)". Lineage: Eukaryota; Viridiplantae; Streptophyta; Magnoliopsida; Malpighiales; Euphorbiaceae. The record is from RNAcentral.
CUUCCCACCAGGUGGUGGAGCUGGUGGCCUAUGCUGCUGCUCAUGUCUAGAAACAUCACCAUGAUUUGAAUUUCCAAGUUCUCUCCUUUCUCUAGACAUUCCUUUAUCUCUUUCACCUCCACUUUCCUUAGGAGGAGGUGGUGGUGGUGGGGAACUUGGUGGUGGUGGUGGUGGUGGCGGCAUUGAAGAGCUGGGUGGAGGAGAUGAAGGAGGUGGUGGAGGAGGUGGCUGCAUUGGUUGUUGCAAUGGUUGAUGACCAUGCAGAGGAGGAUACUGUGAUGAAGGGUAGUAUCCUCCUGAUGCUGGUGGAGGUGGAGGUGGAGGUGGAUAUGAUGAGUCUGGUGGUGGUGGUGGAGGUGGUUGUUGAUAUGGAUAUUGUUGGUGAGGUGGCGGUGGUGGUGGUGGAGGAUAAUGUUGUGAGAAUUUUUGCUGGUUAGGAAUUUGCAUUUGAUUGUAUUGAUUAGGUCUUUGCUGCUGCUGCUGCUGUUGUGGUGGUGGUGGUGGUGGUGGUGGUGGUAGUGUGGAUUGUGAAGGAAACUGCCUAUAAGAGGCCAUUGUAGACCGGAACGCAAAAACCUCAAAAUUAAAAAUCUAAUUUUUAAUUCCUAUAUAGACAGAUAACUCAAUUGCUCAAUUCCGGGUUUUCUUUAUUGAGCUUUUUUCUUGCAAAACUAAUCAAAGAAACCCAAUGACAACAAAUAGAAGUUUUUUCUAUACCCAAUUCUUGAUUUUGCAAAAUAACAGAGCUGGAACCUAGCUAAACAAAAGAAAACAGAAAGAGCUGAAUUCACACUACCCUUUUGCAGCCAUUAGCUAGCUUCAGCAGUAGUAGCAGAGACUAGAGAAAAUUCACACUCUAAAUCUUUAGCAAGAAGCUAGAGAAACCCUAAUUGAACCAUAAAAAUUGAAGCUUUUGAAUAGAUUUAAGAUUACAAAGAAAGAUUCGGGUGAUAGGUUAUCUAAUGAGAUUUGCAUGUAUUUAUACAUGUAUAUAUACAUAGAGAAAGAGAGACUGAGCACACAAAUCUGCGUGCUUUAGAUUCUUUUACAGAUUUCAAUUUCUGAUUGAAUAUAAUGCAAUUCUGGAUUUUUAAUAAGUUUUAUGAAAUAUAUCGGGAAAUCUCGGCUAACUCAUUGUUGUAAUUUCCUUUUUCUUUUCUUUUUCCUUUUUUGGGUUUUUACUUAGCAUGCAAAUGCUAGUCAUCAAAAUCUACUAGAUUUUGUUUCCUUUUUUCCUUUUAAUUUAGUUUUAUUUCCUAAAAUUUCCUUUUGAAUUAAAUGCAUCACCAGUGCUGUUAUUUUAUUUUAAUUAAUAAUACAGGAAAACAUUUAUAAAUAAAACUUAACUAAAUUUUUAAUAAUUUAUAAUAGUUUAUUAUAUUUCUUAGAAUAAUAAUUUAAAAACAUUAGUAUUCUAAAAUUUUAUUAAAUAUAAUAUAAUAUAAAAAUUAUUAUAAUAUAAAUACUACAUUAGUUAAUAUAAUAUUAAGAAUCUAAUUUAAAAUAUUAUAUAAAAAUUUAAAUAAAUUAUUAAUUUAUUAAUGUAUGUAGUAUUUAAAAUAUAAUUAAUUUUUAAACUUAUAAUAUUUAAUUAAAACUCACUUAUUCAAUAGUCAAUUAAUACACAUAAGUUAUAUAAGUUGAAUACUAUUGUUAUAAUUAAAUAUAUAUGUAAAAAGAAUCUAUAAAAUAAUAUAAAAUAUUAAGAAAGAUUUAUAUCUCAAUAAAUAAAUAAUCAAGUUCUGAGAAUUUUAUUUAUUUUUUGAUAGGGAUACUUUUUAGUUAUUUGGCAAUUAUGAUAAAAUAGUACCUAAAUAACAUUAUGAUAAAAGAAAUGGUACCCAUUCAACAAUUUUCUAAAGGAGUAUCCAAAUAACUAUUUAACCCACAAUAAGUAAUGUUACAAAGUAUUGGCAAGUAAAUCUGUUGACUAAUGGUAGUCAUUUUUGAAAUUUUGUAACAGCCAGUCAUGAUAAGGAUAGCACACAACAUGAUAAAACCAGUGGCUAAAAGGCUCAAAGGAAAAUCCCAUGAAUUAAAUGAAAUGGAUGCUAAAGAUGGUAUUUAAGAUCCAAAUCAUUAAAUGUUUACGACAAAGUUGAUAAGGAUAUCAGCUGUGAACAGAAAUCCAAAUCAUUAAACGUAACUAAGUCAAACUACUUUUCUUUUUGAAAAGAGUUAGUUGAGAUUCUCUAUUUACCUCUUAUCAUUUUUAUUUUUGUUUUUAUAAUAGUAUUUAUGUAUAUAUUUUAAUUUAAAUAAAAUUUUAAAUUUAAUUUUUUUCUAAUAAAUAUAAAGAUAUAUAAUAAAUAUUUUCUACAUUUAUAUUUUUCAGACUAAAUUAAUUUUAUUGUUAUGAGAAAGUUAUAAUUUUAUAUUUGUACAGUCAUAAAGAUUUGAUUUAACUUAUUUAUUUCAAUUACAAGUAGCAUAAAAAUAAAGCAUGCGCUAUUUUAAUCACUAGUUAGUCCAAUAUGUGAAAACCGAAUAUAUACAUAAAUAAAUAAUAUAAUUUAAAAAUUACAUUUAUAAAAGAGAUGGAUAAUUUUGAAAACAUUUCAAUUUAAAAGAAGAAAAAGUUGUUCAUGCACGGAUAAAUUUAAAGAUAUAAUAACUCCAAAGAUUAAAUCAUUGAACAAAUUACAUUAUAUGAAUAUUUUAUUUUUCUUUAAACCUUUCAUAUAGCAUAAUUAAUAUAUUAUAUAGAGAAAACUUUUUAAGAUAAAAUUUUAAAAAUUAUAACUUAUUACGGAUUCAAGUUAGAAUUAAUACUUUUAUAAUUACAUAAAAUUUAUUUUUAUAUAAAAUAAUUAUAAAAAAGUUUUUAAGUGUAACUAUCUCUAUUAUAGUUUAGAUGAAUUCGAGAAAGAGACAUCCUUAAAUGGUAAAAGCAACAGGAGAAGAAAAAGGACCAAAAGUGAAAACAAAAACAUAUGUGGGCGGGCUGAAAACUCAUUGUUUUGAAGUCCGAUCUGUUUUUGGUACGGACUUCUAAAUCCAUGUAAAUUCGGCAUUUGUUAAUAGUUUCAGGUCCGGCCCCUUUAUUUAAACAGCAAUUAUGUGUAAAGGAGUGGAAUCAGAGAGGAGAAGUUUGGGAAAAUGCUUUGUCCGAAUUAGUUUAGGCCCAAUAUUACGCCGGAAUUUUAUUUUAUUUUCCACACAAGUGGGGAGGUGAGCAAAAUACUAAAAAAAAAAACCUGAAAACCAAACCAAAACAAGCCGGUUUUAUUUAGCUCGGUUUGGUUAAUUUCUUUUGUAAAUUCAAUUUAUUCGGUUUAAAUUUCUUUAAAUUUAAAAUUAUAUCGGUUCGUUUUGACUAAUAUCAAAAAAUUCAGUUUGACUGAAAUAAUCGAUUGUUUUAAUUAUUUACUAAAUUUAUUAUUAUUUUUUUAUUUAAUUCUCAAAGUAAUUAUAGGUUUAGAUUAAUUAUUAUAAUUUACCCUUUUAUUUGUUCGGCUCAUUUUUUAAAAUUGAUUCGAUUUAUUUAGCAAAGUUGGUUCAAUUUGAUCUUGAAUCGAACUGACCGAAUGCUCACCCCUACAAGUAACAUCAGUGGUUUCAAUUCUCAGCAACCAUAGAGAAAACUAUCUCUCGAAAAAGGUUUAAAGAUGAGUUUAAGAUAUCAAGGAACACAAUUAAUAAACGAUAAUGAGAGAUGUAAAACUAAAUUCUAACAGUAUAAUAAAUAGAUUAUCAGAAUAUAUAUGUAAUACUAAUGAAAGUACAAAAGAACAACAAUAAUAGAAGAUUUCAUCAUAUAACUAAUGUGUGUUAUAAAUAUGAGAAUAUAAAUAAACUUUGUGUAUUGUAAAUAUGAGAAUAGAAAGAAACUUACUUGAAGAAACGAGAAUCAUUUGGAUCAGCCUCCAUUCUUGUAAGAUAGGUGAAAGGGAAAGGUUAGAGCUUUCUCUAGAAUGAGAAUUUAGGUUUUUCUCUUACUUACAAAAUGAAAGUAGAGUGGGCUAUUUAAGAACGAAGUAUUUUGUUUGUAUUAUCUUUUGUAUUAAAAUUUAUGUAAAUCAAAAUCCAAGGGUUGGUUAAAAGCUUUUUUAUGUCAGUAAAAGUUUUUCUCAAUAGUAUUUCAAUGGUUAAGUAGUUGAAAUUCAUUAGGUUUUUGAGGUUCUUCAAAUAACUUAAGGAUCUAUUUGAAUAUUAUCAAUAACUGUGUGCGCGUGUAAUUAAUUUAUUAAUAAAAAUGACAUAUUACUCUCAGAUUCUCUCAUAAUGAUACAACACUUACAAUGGUAAAAAAUAACUCUGAGACAGAACAAUACAGAUUUUAUCACUGUCAUCUGUCUAAUUAUGAAUUAGGGUGUCUGACGAGUGGAUACAGUUUCCUUUUCUACUUUUUACAAGUCUAAUUUUAAAAUUUUCUAACCAUUUAAUGCCUUAAUUGUUUUCUAAUAGAUUCACACAUUUGACGUCACGUGAUUUUAAAAGACUAAAAGAAAAAGAUAAAUAUUGCAUGAAAUUCACAUGUCACUAAUUAUAUGCACAUGUCAGUCAAUAAGAAAUUUAUAAAACUCUCUUAUACCGUAACGACAGAGCAAGAUAUAUAUUGUAAAUUGCUAUAUGCAGCUUUUCUUUAUGAAUUCUAGUUUCAUGCAUUUAAAAUUAUGUGAUCAUCAAUUAUUUUAGUUGCUUUUCUAAUGGAGAUGUAUGAAUGUUACCAGUUGAGUAUGAAAUAUCCAAAAGUUUUUCUUUAUAUACUGCAGGGGAUUUGUAUGGCAAUAAUGAUAUGCACACACUAUUGACAUAGUUAAUUUUUCAUUAAAGAUGAAGGAUUGAGAAGAUAGAUUAAUAUCAUAAUGAUAGAUGGCUUGAAAUAAUUAACAAUAGGAACGACAAUAAGGUGAGGCAAGUAACUCAUUAGGAUUUUAGGUAAGUUUGAGAUGCAGUUUCAGUCAUUCUCUUUGUUCCUCAUAAAAUGAUGAAUGGUGUAAGCCAUCAAUGGGAUGAUUGUGCCACUAUGCAAGAGUCGCAAACCAACAUUCUCCACAAAACCUCACUUUUCUCUUCAUUUCCUAAGGUUUUUACCCAUUAAUAUGCUCAUAAAGGAGUGGAAACAAGUGGAGAAGUUUGGCAAAAUGCUCUGUCUCGAAUUAGUUUAGGCCCAAUAUUACUCUGGAAUGGGUUUAUAUUUUUAUAUUUUUUUUGGAAAUUUUUUAAAAAUAUUUUAAAAUUAAUAAAAAAUAUUAUUUUUAUUAUGUAAAUUUUUUUUUUUCAAAAAUAUUGCGUGGUUGUUUUUUUGGUUUUUCGUUGGUUGUUUUAUCAAAAAACAUAAAAAAAAUAAAAUUAAAAAAACAACCAGUACCUUAUAUCUAAAAAAAAAUAAAUUAUAUUCUUAAUAUUUUCACACAGUAACAAUAUAUUUUCUCCCUUUCUUGGGUUUACUUACACAAGUAACAAAAACAUCAUUAGUUUCAAUUCUGAGCAACUCUGGACAAAAUCUUUGUUUGUUUAUUUAUUUAUUUAUUUUGGUGUUAUUGGCAAUCGGUUCCGGCCACUAGUAUAAUCAACAACCAAUGCCGGUAACUACGGCAUACUGAAUUCUUUUAUAAUUUUAUUAUUUUUAGUCUAUUUUGUUUAUAUCUUAUUAUAAACUAUAAAUAUAAAUUCUUGAUAAAUUUGAAUAUUUUGAUAUUUUUGUUACAAAAAAUAUAAAAGAUAUAUUUAUCAUAAUAUUUUGUACAUAACCAAAUAGCAGAAAUUUUUUGAUUUAAAAAAAUAAUUUUAAAAGCAAAUGGAGACUUAAUAGUAUAUUGAAGAUAGAAAAAGUAUCCAUGCGUAUGACUUACUUUUCUCUAUUUUAGUUCACAAUAGUGAUAUAUAUAAGAUAAGCCCAAUUUGAUUAUAUUUUUCUAGUAAAAUCAAUUUAGCAAAAUUGCAAUAUUGUAUCCUAUGAAAAUUAUGAGCGUUUAUCUAAAGAUUGCAUUGAGAAAGAAAGAAAAAAAGAAGAAGAAGAAAAUGAUGUCUUAAUUAGUCACCUUUUCAUCUUUUAAAUGCAUAGAUAAUUUUCUUUCCAUAAACAUAUUUGUGUAAUAGAUGAGGAACAUAAUUAAUCUACGAUAAUGAGAUGUAAAUUUAAAUUCUAAUAAUAUAACAAAUAGAUUAUGAAUAUAUAUAUAUGCUAUAUACUAAUGAAAGUUCAAAAAUGAUAACAAUAAUAGAAGAUUUCAUCAUAUGAUUAAUGUGUGUAGUAAAUGUCAGAAUGGAAAGCUUAAAAAUAUAUUAGAAUCAUUAGGUUCAGCCUCCGUUCUUUCAAGAUGGUGAAGGGGAAAGCUUAGAGCUUUCUAUUGGAUCAGAAUUUUGGUCUUUUUCCUACUUAUAAAUAUGGAAGUAACUAUUUAUAAAUGAAGUGUUUUACUUUUAUUAUCUUUUGUAUGGUUAUCAUUUUUUGAUUUUACCAAUAUAUUUUGCAAUUAUAAAAAAUUUUGUAUUUCUCAUAAAUCAGUCAAUUUUUUCUUAAAUUAUUAAAUUUCACACAAGUAAUCAUUUUUUUCAUAAUAUAAUUUAUUUUUUUGCAAUUAAUAAUACUUACAAAAAGUUAGUAUAAUUUACGAAAUAUACGGAAAUGAUUGUCAUUUUUUAUAAAUUAUUAAUUAUUUUUAUAAUUAUAAAAUUAUAAAAGGUUUAACAUGUUGCUAAUUAUUGUUACUUAUAAAAUUUGAAGAAUAAAAUUUAAAGUAAUUAAAAAUUAAUAGUAUUUUAUUUUAAAUAAAAACACCCUAAAAAGCAUUAUAUAUAUAUGAGAAUAUCAUAAAAUAUCUUAAGUAUAGUGUUUUAUACAUAACAAAAUAGUAUUAUUAAGUUUUUUUUUUUAAAAAAAAAAGAAAAGAAAAGCAAAUGGAGCCUUGAAAAUAUAUCGAAACAAGAUAGAAGAAAAUGCAUGCGUAGGGCCUACUUUUCUCCAUUUUAGUUCUCAACAGAGAUAUAAUAUAAGUCGAUGCUAGCUCUAUUUAAUGAGAUUUUCCUAGUAAAUCAAUUUAGAAAAAUUUCAAUGAUAUAUUAUGAAAAGUAUGAGCAUUUUAUCUAAAGAUUGCAUUAAAAAAGAAAGAAAGAAAGAGAGAGAAAGUGAUAUGUUAGUCAUGUCUCAUCUUUGAAACACAAUAGAAGAGCAACAUAAUUAAUGAAAGAUAAUGAGAGAUGUAAAUUUUAUCAUAUAAGUAAAAUGUGAUGUAAAUAUGAAGUUACUUAAAGAAAUGAAAAUUAUUUGGAUCAGCCUCCAUUAUCUUAAUAUGGUAAAGGGGGAAAAUUUAGAGCUUUCUCUUGAAUUAAAAUUUAAAUUUUUUUCUCACCUAUGAAAUGGAAGUAGAGUGAUUAUUUGAGAAUGAAUUGUUUUAUUUGUAUUAAGAGUUGUAUAAAAUCAAAAUCCAAGGUUUGGUUUUG